Molecule: long non-coding RNA, 202 nt
Filed under: Musa acuminata (dwarf banana)
Lineage: Eukaryota; Viridiplantae; Streptophyta; Magnoliopsida; Zingiberales; Musaceae
Description: long non-coding RNA (MACU_LNC007254)
Source: RNAcentral
AGGAAAGCUGGGCGGUUCAACCGCCCAGUCAGGUGGUGGCACCGCUUGGGCUCAGUCUUCGAGUGAGACUGGGUAGUGGAACCACCCCAAUCAAGCAGUAGCACCGCUAGAGCUCGGUCUCCGAGCUCUGUCAGGCGGUCGUACCGCCUAGUCUGGAGGUAGUACCGCCAAGACCCCGAAAAUUCGGGAGAUGAUAUUUUUG